Molecule: long non-coding RNA, 2100 nt
Organism: Haemorhous mexicanus (house finch)
Lineage: Eukaryota; Metazoa; Chordata; Aves; Passeriformes; Fringillidae
Exons: 3
Source: RefSeq, a predicted model, not a curated record
UUAGUGCAUAUAAAGACCUUAAUUGAAAUUCUUGACAAUUGAAAUCUAAGUUUAAAAAAAAUCUAAAUUUCACUUUUGCAUUACGCUUUCCCCUUGAUUUUUUUUUCCCUUAGUUCCUUUUGCCUUUAAUAAGGAUUAACCAUCCUGUUUCCCCCUCCUCCAGGGAAGGAGGAUCCAGCUGGCAGAUGCAAAGCUGGGAUACACGAGAAGGAAAACACUAAAAAUUUUUAAAAGUAUCAUUUUUCCUUCAACCCCACUCGAUUACAGCGAUCUGAGCUCCAAUUACAGGCACAGACCCCGAGCUGGAAGGUGUAACAGAUUUCUGCCUCCAAGAGGGCUCCUGGGGCUCAGGUCCCAGUUGGGGUUCCCAGACCUCGGGAUGCUGAGCAGGGAGCACAGGAAGGUGGCCCCAGCUGUGCCCAGCUCUUCUCUCCCAGGAAUAUGGAAUAACUCAGUAUCAGCUUCCCUCGCACGCGGAGGUGAAGGACCUCUUUGGGAGGUCAACCAAGAAGCUUCAGCACUGGUUGGCCUCCACCAUAAACUGCUCAUUUCUUGCUCAGAUCUGUCACUUUUGCCAUGGAGUAAAUUCAGGAUUGUCCUGUGGACAAGGAUACCUUGCCAUCACCUCCUGUUUGGAUGGAGUCAGCCCAGAGGUGCCACAGCCCAGCAGGGAUGGAGAGAAGACACAGUCACAGAAGACGAGAGGUUCUUCAAAGUUCAUGAGGGGCAAAAUAAUCAUGGAAUGAAAUUAAAGCUGUGCUAGGGAACGGGAUAUUUGAGAAUGUCAGGGAAAACAAUCUCCUCAGUGCUGUUUCACACUACCACGGGUGUUUUCUGCCAAGAAUCCCUCAGUCUUCAGCAGUUUCUGUUUGAAAGAUUUUUAGGAAAAAGAAAUAUUUGUUAAUCUGUUAAUGACUAAUUAGUUAAUGACUCCUGUGAAAUGGAGGUUUCGUUUACAAAAAUUCAAGUUGAAUAUUGGCACUUGCAGCUCCUGUAGAACCCAACUCAGUGUUUUUCCAGCCCCCAGAAGGGUCAUUCAGCUGCCUCACAACCUCUCCAUUGCAGCCUCUCCAGGGCAUUUAGGAACUGUUUAAUUCCAGCUCUGACAUCUUCCCAUCCCUUUCCCUGGUGGCUCAUGGCAGCUCUUUGUGGCACAGCCUCAUCCAUAAGUUUAUUUUUUUUCCUCCAAGGAAAGGGCAUUAUUUGCACAAUGGAAUGUUCACUUGCAUUUCUCAGUGCAGGUGUGCCCCUGGCAGAUGAGAGGCAGCCUGUUCAAUUAUAUUUAUUACAUAUUUAUAUGUUAGAGUUUGGUUGGCCAGAGCAGCUGUGGCUGCCCCUGGAUCCUUGGAAGUGUCAGGACAGAGCUUGGAGCCCCCUGGGACAGUGGAAGGUGUCUCUGCCCAUGGCAGGGGGUGGCACUGGUUGGGCUUUAAGGUCCCUUCCAACCCAAACUGAUCUGGGAUUCUUUGAUUUACAAGCAAAUGGAUUUGGAUUUUAAAAAUCCUAUUUUUAUUUACUGGUAUCAGCAAGGUUGGGAAUCCAGGGAAAAAAGGAAACUUGAAGGUGAGCCCUGGAGUAACAAGCUAGCAGCAUGUGCAAAAGGGUUAAAUCAAUCCUAAAAUGCUUUUUUACAGCAGAGGAAAGAGUUUUAAAGGGUGGAUGUAGUUGGUGCCACCAAGGCUGGGGUGGGAAGAGCACUCAGGGACAUGGGAUCAGCCCAGGCUUCUCUGCUUUGCUCCCUGCAAGAGAAGAGGAGCUUCACCACCCAAAAUAUUGCUCAGAGUGUGUCCCACCUCACAUAUAACUAGUGGGAAGAGAGAUGCAGCACACCCAGUUAUAAACUUGACUAUUCAUCAUUUAAUUAACACUGGAGAAGCAAUGGCUGAGGCUCUCCUGGGAGCCAGGGCUUGAGUAAUGUGGCUGCACCUCUCUGAUCAGAGACUGCAGGGCUGGAAACCAGGAUUUUCCCAAAUAUUACAUGGAUAAAUAUUUUCUUGCUAAUGAUUUGUGAAGCAAAGAAUGAACAAGCCUUGAGUUUAGCCUGAACAAUCCUUGAAUGUAUCCAUUAGAACCAAAUAUAUCCACAUAUCAAAUUUAUAA